Molecule: ribosomal RNA, 903 nt
Filed under: uncultured soil bacterium
Lineage: Bacteria
Description: SSU rRNA
Rfam family: Bacterial small subunit ribosomal RNA
Source: RNAcentral
UGGCCUAAACCCAGAAGGCUGCUUCCCAAAACUGCUGUGCUCGAGUGUGAGAGAGGCUCGUGGAAUUGCAGGUGUAGCGGUGAAAUGCGUAGAUAUCUGCAGGAACACCCGUGGCGAAAGCGGCGAGCUGGAUCACUACUGACGCUGAGGAACGAAAGCUAGGGGAGCAAACAGGAUUAGAUACCCUGGUAGUCCUAGCCCUAAACGAUCAGGACUUGGGGUGCCGCCCGUUCGGGCGUCGUCCCGGAGCUAACGCGUUAAGUCCUGCACCUGGGGAGUACGGUCGCAAGACUGAAACUCAAAGGAAUUGACGGGGGCCCGCACAAGCGGUGGAACAUGUGGUUCAAUUCGACGCUACGCGAGGAACCUUACCUGGGCUCGAAAUGCUAGUGACCAGCUGUAGAAAUACGGCCUUCCCGCAAGGGACACCAGUAUAGGCGCUGCAUGGCUGUCGCCCGCUCGUGCCGUGAGGUGUUGGGUUAAGUCCCGCAACGAGCGCAACCCCUGCACACAGUUACUACUCGCAAGAGAGGACUCUGUGUGGACUGCUCCGGAUAACGGAGAGGAAGGUGGGGAUGACGUCAAGUCCGCAUGGCCUUUAUGUCCAGGGCUACACACGUGUUACAAUGCAGGGCACAAACCGUUGCCAACCCGCGAGGGGGAGCUAAUCGGAAAAAACUCUGCUCAGUUCGGAUUGCAGUCUGCAACUCGACUGCAUGAAGCCGGAAUCGCUAGUAAUGGCGUAUCAGAUCGACGCCGUGAAUACGUUCCCGGGCCUUGUACACACCGCCCGUCACAUCACGAAAGUGAGUUGUACUAGAAGUCGCCGCGCGAACCGCAAGGACGCAAGCGCCCAAGGUAUGACUCAUGAUGGUAAGCUACAGCAUUACCCACUGGCAUUAA